RNAcentral lists this unclassified non-coding RNA (335 nucleotides) under soil metagenome. RNAcentral describes it as "partial contains 5.8S ribosomal RNA, internal transcribed spacer 2, and large subunit ribosomal RNA". The stretch from base 1 to 120 matches the Rfam family "5.8S ribosomal RNA", at positions 35 to 154 of the family's 154-position model. The record is from RNAcentral.
GAUGAAGAACGUAGCGAAAUGCGAUAAGUAAUGUGAAUUGCAGAAUUCAGUGAAUCAUCGAAUCUUUGAACGCACAUUGCGCCCGCCAGUAUUCUGGCGGGCAUGCCUGUUCGAGCGUCAUUUCAACCAUCAAGCCCUGCUUGCGUUGGGGUCCUGCGGCUGCCCGCAGGCCCUGAAAACCAGUGGCGGGCUCGCUAGUCACACCGAGCGCAGUAAUACAUCUCGCUUUGGGCGUGCGGCGGGUUCUUGCCGUUAAACACCCCCUUUUUACCAAGGUUGACCUCGGAUCAGGUAGGAAUACCCGCUGAACUUAAGCAUAUCAAAUAAGCGGAGGA